Molecule: long non-coding RNA, 852 nt
Organism: Gorilla gorilla gorilla (western lowland gorilla)
Lineage: Eukaryota; Metazoa; Chordata; Mammalia; Primates; Hominidae
Exons: 2
Source: RefSeq, a predicted model, not a curated record
AAGUCUACCUGUGCCUGCGCCCGCCGGGCCUGCCGGCCUCUUCCUUCUCAUUCAGGGGGCCUCUUCUCCAGCCUCACGGAGGUGGGAAGCUUGCUGGAGGCUCCUACCUGCCUUUUGGGGAAGACCCCGAGGCUGGCCCACGCCCUGCUGGCAGGACCCUUCCUGACUGGGUCCACCGUUCUUCUGGGUCUCACCACUUCUCCCAGCCCCUGGGCUGCUUCCUCUCUCCCGUGUCUGGGACCCCAGAGGCACCACUUCCAUUCCAUACAAGGUCUCCUGAUAGCAGGAACCUUGCUGCAUCUCCUACACUUCUCAAGAGCAGAAAUGAGCUCACUGCCCCACACCCAGGAUUCUCAUACCAUACUUGAGGACUCUCUGGUUUGGACAGACUACGAUUAAAUUGAUCACAACCUUUAGUUCUCAUGGUCUGGGAGGCCAUCUCCUCUCCUCAGACCCCGUCACUCUUCGAUCUCUCCUCUCAUUAACUCUGUCAGCACAGACUGCUCUCUCUUCCAGGACUCCAAGAGCUCCUCAUCACCCUCAUCUGCUGUAACAAGGAAAGAACCCACUUACCUGCUUCAAUACUAGGUUUUGCCCCCCGUCCCAUUUUCAAAAAGUCAGGCACAAAGUAAAACCCUGUAUUUAUUAUCCCUCCUAUUUUGAGGCUCCAGCUCUAGCCCCAGACCUUUUUUGAUAGGAGAAGGUAAUACAGUUUAUUUUCUAACUUGUUUCCCCUAGUUUUCUCCUGUCUCGUCACCCGUGUGAUCCACGUGUAUCAGAAGUGAUAGGUGGCUCAAGAUCAUUUUGGUCAGAUUUUAAAAAUAAAAUAUUUUCUCCUUUUAUGUCUAAAAA